RNAcentral lists this ribosomal RNA (301 nucleotides) under uncultured bacterium. RNAcentral describes it as "partial 16S ribosomal RNA". It matches the Rfam family "Bacterial small subunit ribosomal RNA", at positions 509 to 807 of the family's 1533-position model. The record is from RNAcentral.
CAGCAGCCACGGUAAUACGGAGGGCGCGAGCGUUACCCGGAUUUACUGGGCGUAAAGGGCGUGUAGGCGGCCUGGGGCGUCCCAUGUGAAAGGCCACGGCUCAACCGUGGAGGAGCGUGGGAUACGCUCAGGCUAGAGGGUGGGAGAGGGUGGUGGAAUUCCCGGAGUAGCGGUGAAAUGCGCAGAUACCGGGAGGAACGCCGAUGGCGAAGGCAGCCACCUGGUCCACUUCUGACGCUGAGGCGCGAAAGCGUGGGGAGCAAACCGGAUUAGAUACCCCAGUAGUCCCUGUCUCUUAUAC